CAGGAUGAACGCUGGCGGCGUGCUUAACACAUGCAAGUCGAACGGAGAUAAGAGAAAGCUUGCUUUUCUUAUCUUAGUGGCGGACGGGUGAGUAACGCGUGGGUAACCUACCCUGUACAGGGGGAUAGCAGUUGGAAACGACUGAUAAAACCGCAUAAAACGGCAGUACCGCAUGGUACAACCGUCAAAUAUUCAUAGGUACAGGAUGGGCCCGCGUCUGAUUAGCUAGUUGGUGGGGCAACGGCCUACCAAGGCGACGAUCAGUAGCCGGCCUGAGAGGGUGAACGGCCACAUUGGGACUGAGACACGGCCCAAACUCCUACGGGAGGCAGCAGUGGGGAAUAUUGGACAAUGGGGGAAACCCUGAUCCAGCGACGCCGCCGUGAGUGAAGAAGUAUUUCGGUAUGUAAAGCUCUAUCAGCAGGGAAGAUGAUGACGGUACCUGACUAAGAAGCACCGGCUAAAUACGUGCCAGCAGCAGC
This 482-nucleotide ribosomal RNA is filed under the name uncultured bacterium. RNAcentral's name for it is "bacterial SSU rRNA". It matches the Rfam family "Bacterial small subunit ribosomal RNA", at positions 25 to 518 of the family's 1533-position model. The record is from RNAcentral.